AAAUUGAAGAGUUUGAUCAUGGCUCAGAUUGAACGCUGGCGGCAGGCCUAACACAUGCAAGUCGAGCGGAAACGAGUUAUCUGAACCUUCGGGGAACGAUAACGGCGUCGAGCGGCGGACGGGUGAGUAAUGCCUAGGAAAUUGCCCUGAUGUGGGGGAUAACCAUUGGAAACGAUGGCUAAUACCGCAUAACGCCUACGGGCCAAAGAGGGGGACCUUCGGGCCUCUCGCGUCAGGAUAUGCCUAGGUGGGAUUAGCUAGUUGGUGAGGUAAGGGCUCACCAAGGCGACGAUCCCUAGCUGGUCUGAGAGGAUGAUCAGCCACACUGGAACUGAGACACGGUCCAGACUCCUACGGGAGGCAGCAGUGGGGAAUAUUGCACAAUGGGCGCAAGCCUGAUGCAGCCAUGCCGCGUGUGUGAAGAAGGCCUUCGGGUUGUAAAGCACUUUCAGUCGUGAGGAAGGUAGUGUAGUUAAUAGCUGCAUUAUUUGACGUUAGCGACAGAAGAAGCACCGGCUAACUCCGUGCCAGCAGCCGCGGUAAUACGGAGGGUGCGAGCGUUAAUCGGAAUUACUGGGCGUAAAGCGCAUGCAGGUGGUUUGUUAAGUCAGAUGUGAAAGCCCGGGGCUCAACCUCGGAAUAGCAUUUGAAACUGGCAGACUAGAGUACUGUAGAGGGGGGUAGAAUUUCAGGUGUAGCGGUGAAAUGCGUAGAGAUCUGAAGGAAUACCGGUGGCGAAGGCGGCCCCCUGGACAGAUACUGACACUCAGAUGCGAAAGCGUGGGGAGCAAACAGGAUUAGAUACCCUGGUAGUCCACGCCGUAAACGAUGUCUACUUGGAGGUUGUGGCCUUGAGCCGUGGCUUUCGGAGCUAACGCGUUAAGUAGACCGCCUGGGGAGUACGGUCGCAAGAUUAAAACUCAAAUGAAUUGACGGGGGCCCGCACAAGCGGUGGAGCAUGUGGUUUAAUUCGAUGCAACGCGAAGAACCUUACCUACUCUUGACAUCCAGAGAACUUUCCAGAGAUGGAUUGGUGCCUUCGGGAACUCUGAGACAGGUGCUGCAUGGCUGUCGUCAGCUCGUGUUGUGAAAUGUUGGGUUAAGUCCCGCAACGAGCGCAACCCUUAUCCUUGUUUGCCAGCACUUCGGGUGGGAACUCCAGGGAGACUGCCGGUGAUAAACCGGAGGAAGGUGGGGACGACGUCAAGUCAUCAUGGCCCUUACGAGUAGGGCUACACACGUGCUACAAUGGCGCAUACAGAGGGCAGCCAACUUGCGAAAGUGAGCGAAUCCCAAAAAGUGCGUCGUAGUCCGGAUUGGAGUCUGCAACUCGACUCCAUGAAGUCGGAAUCGCUAGUAAUCGUGGAUCAGAAUGCCACGGUGAAUACGUUCCCGGGCCUUGUACACACCGCCCGUCACACCAUGGGAGUGGGCUGCAAAAGAAGUAGGUAGUUUAACCUUCGGGAGGACGCUUACCACUUUGUGGUUCAUGACUGGGGUGAAGUCGUAACAAGGUAGCGCUAGGGGAACCUGGCGCUGGAUCACCUCCUUAUACGAUGAU
RNAcentral lists this ribosomal RNA (1561 nucleotides) under Vibrio azureus. RNAcentral describes it as "bacterial SSU rRNA". It matches the Rfam family "Bacterial small subunit ribosomal RNA". The record is from RNAcentral. Lineage: Bacteria; Pseudomonadati; Pseudomonadota; Gammaproteobacteria; Vibrionales; Vibrionaceae.